AACGACUCCCGGCAACGGAUAUCUCGGCUCUCGCAUCGAUGAAGAACGUAGCGAAAUGCGAUACUUGGUGUGAAUUGCAGAAUCCCGUGAACCAUCGAGUCUUUGAACGCAAGUUGCGCCCGAAGCCAUCAGGUUGAGGGCACGUC
This 146-nucleotide ribosomal RNA is filed under the name Cyrtandra pachyneura. RNAcentral describes it as "5.8S ribosomal RNA". It matches the Rfam family "5.8S ribosomal RNA". From Rfam's summary of the family: 5.8S ribosomal RNA (5.8S rRNA) is a component of the large subunit of the eukaryotic ribosome. It is transcribed by RNA polymerase I as part of the 45S precursor that also contains 18S and 28S rRNA. Functionally, it is thought that 5.8S rRNA may be involved in ribosome translocation. Lineage: Eukaryota; Viridiplantae; Streptophyta; Magnoliopsida; Lamiales; Gesneriaceae. The record is from RNAcentral.